This is a long non-coding RNA of Anneissia japonica, 931 nucleotides long. RefSeq lists it as uncharacterized. The record is from RefSeq and is a predicted model, not a curated record. The transcript has 4 exons. Lineage: Eukaryota; Metazoa; Echinodermata; Crinoidea; Comatulida; Comatulidae.
ACAGUGCAAUCGGUGUAAAAGUAUAGGAAAAGGUAAUAUGGUUUCGAAAACAACCACCCACUGUUAUCGUGAGAAAUAAAUGGUAAGUGACAGAUUGGAAACCAAAACACCCAGUGUGGCAUUUGUUGAUGCCUGGGAGGCGUAAUACCUAGCAAAGAAUUCAACCUGGCACUAUGCCUUGUUGGUUUGCUUGCCUAGUGUCAGGGAUAAUUUAAUGAAUGGAGUUGUAUAGGAUUUAUAACUAGGUGAUUCCAGAUCACAUCACGCCUAAACGGAAUCUGGGUGCUUCACACAUAUCAAUAGCACGUAAACUCAGCUCCCUGGGGUCAGUUUUGUCAACAAGUGUCAGAACCCUGUAUUAAGAGCAAGUAAAUCUGAUGGAAGUGCAUGAUGAGUACUACCAUGAGGUAGGUGGCGCCCUAUUGGAAAUCGGCGAACUCAAAAUUGCAUUCAAAACUAAAAAAUGCAUCAUAGAAAUGCAGCACGCAUUCGAUACGAACACCUUUUAUUGCCUUUUGAAGGACGCCCUCUAGAUCGUGGUAGCACUUUUCGAGAAUCAGUAAUAGGCAAUGGACACCCGCACUUUAUAUUGAAAAGACUUGACAAAAAGAAACACUACUAAGAAGAUAGCAAACAUUUUCAAGUAUGUUACUGGUCACAGUUGUUGUAUCAUGUGUUUGUGUUGGCAAACAUGAGCUAUCUUUUGUAACUUGCUCUAAUAACAAUAAACUACAAAGCUUCAAGUGGGUUGUGAGUAGGUGAUUAAAGAAAUGAAUGGCUUGAUGUCAACAAGGUUUAAAAACAGGAGUUUAUCAUUCUAUAUAACUUUUAACAAGGUCAAAUAAUAUAUAAUAAAACUUCUAUUCUGUGUUAGGCCUUAUAAAAAAUAUUAUUAGUUUAUCACCUUAUCUGAGCAGGAAAAGUGAUGAGG